GAGUUAAUUUUUUUAAGUUUUGAAAACUUUUUUUAGGUACUUGCCUUUAACUUU
This 54-nucleotide transfer RNA is filed under the name Brugia pahangi. RNAcentral describes it as "tRNA-Ser2". The record is from RNAcentral. Lineage: Eukaryota; Metazoa; Nematoda; Chromadorea; Rhabditida; Onchocercidae.